AGCGGCGGACGGGUGAGUAACACGUGGGUAACCUGCCCAAGAGACUGGGAUAACACCUGGAAACAGAUGCUAAUACCGGAUAACAACACUAGACGCAUGUCUAGAGUCUGAAAGAUGGUUCAGCUAUCACUCUUGGAUGGACCUGCGGUGCAUUAGCUAGUUGGUAAGGUAACGGCUUACCAAGGCAAUGAUGCAUAGCCGAGUUGAGAGACUGAUCGGCCACAUUGGGACUGAGACACGGCCCAAACUCCUACGGGAGGCAGCAGUAGGGAAUCUUCCACAAUGGACGAAAGUCUGAUGGAGCAACGCCGCGUGAGUGAAGAAGGGUUUCGGCUCGUAAAGCUCUGUUGGUAGUGAAGAAAGAUAGAGGUAGUAACUGGCCUUUAUUUGACGGUAAUUACUUAGAAAGUCACGGCUAACUACGUGCCAGCAGCCGCGGUAAUACGUAGGUGGCAAGCGUUGUCCGGAUUUAUUGGGCGUAAAGCGAGUGCAGGCGGUUCAAUAAGUCUGAUGUGAAAGCCUUCGGCUCAACCGGAGAAUUGCAUCAGAAACUGUUGAACUUGAGUGCAGAAGAGGAGAGUGGAACUCCAUGUGUAGCGGUGGAAUGCGUAGAUAUAUGGAAGAACACCAGUGGCGAAGGCGGCUCUCUGGUCUGCAACUGACGCUGAGGCUCGAAAGCAUGGGUAGCGAACAGGAUUAGAUACCCUGGUAGUCCAUGCCGUAAACGAUGAGUGCUAAGUGU
RNAcentral lists this ribosomal RNA (742 nucleotides) under uncultured bacterium. Its description in RNAcentral is "bacterial SSU rRNA". It matches the Rfam family "Bacterial small subunit ribosomal RNA", at positions 94 to 823 of the family's 1533-position model. The record is from RNAcentral.